This 165-nucleotide ribosomal RNA is filed under the name Staphylococcus aureus. RNAcentral's name for it is "partial 16S ribosomal RNA". It matches the Rfam family "Bacterial small subunit ribosomal RNA", at positions 1 to 160 of the family's 1533-position model. The record is from RNAcentral. Lineage: Bacteria; Bacillati; Bacillota; Bacilli; Caryophanales; Staphylococcaceae.
UUUAUGGAGAGUUUGAUCCUGGCUCAGGAUGAACGCUGGCGGCGUGCCUAAUACAUGCAAGUCGAGCGAACGGACGAGAAGCUUGCUUCUCUGAUGUUAGCGGCGGACGGGUGAGUAACACGUGGAUAACCUACCUAUAAGACUGGGAUAACUUCGGGAAACCGG